UUUAAUUAAACAAAAAGGGGGAGAUGCUGAGAGCCACGGCCGAGUCUGUAUGGCCCCUGGCAUUUUGCCAACAGUAUUGAUUGACAGGCGAGGCAUUACUAUCUGCCUCUGCCGCAACUUUUGAGUUCUCGCACUAUUUUGUUGUUCUCAUGGGGAUUUCCGGGGAUUCCCCGAGAGUUCCCAUUGGUUGGGGAAGUGCAGGAGGAGGGAUUUCCGGGAGAGAUAUUUCCGGCUGGGGGUUCCUGGACAAGCCUCCUGGCGCGUUCGGGAGGAUUCCCCGGGAGCUGUGUGAAGUGUUUUCCUGCAGUUUAAAAAUAAAGUUUGUUCCUGCUUCAGUGGCUCCUGAUUUGUGCCCAGCCAGACUGCGGCAAUAUAUUGCUUGUAUCCAUGUUGAAGUGUUUCCCCUAUGUUUUCUUCUAGUUAAUUUAGGGUUUCAGGUCUGGCAGUAAGGUUUCUGAGCCAUUUUGAAUUGAAUUUUCUACAGGUGAGAGAUAAGGGUCAAGCUGCAUCUUCUGCAUGCUACAUUUAUUGAAAAGGCUCUCCUUUCUCAACCAUAAGUUUGGAUAACUUUGUUGAGAAUCAGUCAAUUGUAGUUGUAUGGGUUUUUGUCCCUCUCUCCCCCCAGGGAUCUCCAUUCUCUUCCAUAGUUCUGUUUGAUUUCUUUUUUAAAGAAAAGACAUUAAUUAUUUUUUAUAAAUUUUAUGAUAAGUACAUACAUUUGGUUAUUAUUAGUGCCAUAAUAUUCAUACAUCAUAAUAUUAAUAUUACAAAACUAUAAUAUUAUUUUUUAAAUUUAUGUGUUUAUUCUAAUUAGGUAUAUAUGAGGGCAGAAUGCAUUUUGAUUUAUUGUACACACAUGGCACAGAGUUUUUCAUUUCUUUGGUUGUACAUGAUGCAUUAUCAUGCCUUAUGUGCAGUCACACAUGUACUUAGGGUAAUUAUGUCCAUCUCAUUCCACAAUCUUCCCUGCUCCCAUGCCCCCUCCCAUCCCCUUCCUCCUCUUUACCCAAUCAAAGUUCUUCCAUUUCUCCCAUGCUCCCAACCCCCCAUUAUGGAUCAGCAUCUACUUAUCAGAGAGAAUUUUCAGCCUUUGGUUUUUUUGAGGUUGGCUUGCUUCACUUAACAUGAGAUUCUCCAACUCCAUCCAUUU
RNAcentral lists this long non-coding RNA (1150 nucleotides) under Marmota monax (woodchuck). The record is from RNAcentral. Lineage: Eukaryota; Metazoa; Chordata; Mammalia; Rodentia; Sciuridae.